RNAcentral lists this small nuclear RNA (18 nucleotides) under Arabidopsis thaliana (thale cress). RNAcentral's name for it is "snRNA_10594". Lineage: Eukaryota; Viridiplantae; Streptophyta; Magnoliopsida; Brassicales; Brassicaceae. The record is from RNAcentral.
GGAGCUCGGACGCGAGUU